UGAGGACACCCGUGCGGCGGACGCGCUCGCGCUGUGAGGCAGGCCGGGAGGUGAGCUGGGUGCGCCACGCUCCGUGCGAGACGUGGGCAUGUCCAGUACCUCCUUCCCUCUCCUCACGCGGACCAACUAUCCCAGUUGGUCCGUCCUGAUGAAAGUCAUCAUGGAGGCGCGACAUAUGUGGGAAGCUGUGGAAACCGGCAAUGUCGAGUACGAGGAGGACCGGCUGGCGAUGGAGGCGAUCUUGCGCUCCGUCCCAGAGGAGAUGGUGCUCACCCUUGGCGCCAAGGAGACGGCCAAGGAAGCAUGGGACACCAUCAAGACUCUGCGCAUCGGCGUGGAGCGCGUACGGGAGUCGAAGGCCCGGACCUUGUGCCUCCAGUACGAGGAGAUCUGGUUCAAGGCCGGUGAACAAGUCGACUACUUCGCCUUGCGGCUGCAAGAGGUCUCGUCAACGAGCUCGCAAUGCUCGGAGAUCACAUCGACAACAAGAUGGUGAUUCUCAAGUUCCUCCGCAUCGUCCCCAGGCAGUACAAGCAACUGGCCUGGUCCAAUGAGAGUUUGGUGGAUCUCUCCACCAUGACGAUCGAGGAGCUGGUAGGGCGGCUGAAGGUCGUCGAGGAGCGCUGCGACGAAGCCGACAACCGUGCUGGCGGCGAACUAUACUGCUCACCAAGGAGCAGUGGGACGCACAGCUUCAGCAGCGCGGCCGCGACGGCUCUUCCGGCAGUGGGGGAGGCGCCCCCACGGGAAGCAGAGGUCGCGGCAGAGGCGGAGGCCGCGCCCAGAGCGGCCGCAGCAACCGUGGGCGCAAGCCAAGCCAGGCAGGGUGAGGCGCUGGCAAUGGUGGCAAGUGCCACUACUUCAACAUGCCGGGUCGCUGGAUCCGGGAUUGCCGCAGGAGGAAAGCCGACGAGGCAGCCGCGACAACGACAAACCUCGUCCAAGCUGACGUGGACGGCGGGCCGGCAAUGAUGCUGGCAAGAGUUGAGCCCGUGCAGGAGAGCACAACAUCUCUCGCGACCACGACUCCGAUAACCACCCAUUCCAUGCAGGAGGCACGGAACCCCUCCACGGGAACCAUCACUCCAGUGACAGGCCACACCUCGACAACGACGUUUUUGGGGCCUGUUGACUAGGAGGCGAUGAAGGCUCGGGUGUGGGGGAGCCACACCCCGGCGACGGUGUCCCCGAACUCGGGACCCGACGAGGUCGCAAGUUGGCGCGGCAACGACGCAUAUGGCGGACCAUGCUCCGACCAUGAUGCUGGUGACCAUCGACUCCGUGCAGGAGCGCACGGAGACUCAGGUCAGCCACACCCCGACAACAAAGUGUUCGGGGUUCAUCGUGUUGACGGGAGUUGGCUCCCUGACAACGGCAUUUUUGUGCGGCUACGUCUUCCUCAACGAGGAGAGAGCCGUGACCACACCCACGCUUGCAGGCGGCAAGCAAAGUGAGGGUUGGUUCCUCGACACCGGCGCCACGAACCACAUGACUGGUUCGGUCGACGCGUUCAUGGAGCUGCACCGCUCAAUCACUGGGAAGGUGCGGUUCGCGGACGGAUCCGUGGUGGAGAUCCACGGGCGCGGGACCGUCGUCUUCGUCAACAAAGGAGGUGAUCAUAGGGCGUUCACGGACGUCUACUUCAUCCCGGCUCUCAAGAGCAGCGUCGUGAGUGUUGGACAGCUCGACGAGGGCUGGUUCGACAUUGACAUCCGGCGCGGUGUAAUCACCGUGCACGACCAGCAGAAGAGGCUGCUCAUCGAGGUAACCUGCUCGGCAAACCGCCUCUACAAGCUCUUCUUUCGACCCGUGCAUCCUGUGUGCCUUGCCGUGGGCCAUGUCUCCGACGCGUGACGUUGGCAUGCCCGGCUAGGACACCAGCACUUCGACGGGUUGCGGAAGAUGGCGUGAGGAAACCUCGUUCAUGGGCUACCUCACAUCGAGCACCCCGAUGAGCUGUGUGAUGCGUGUCUUGCCGGGAAGCAGCGGCGCCUGCCCUUUAUUGAGAAGGCAGGCUAUCGGGUGCAGAAACCCCUGGAGCUGGUUCACGGGUACCUCUGCGGUCCAAUCACCCCGGCAACGCGAGGAGGGUGUCGCUACAUCCUGCUGCUCGUCGACGACUAUAGCAGGUUCGUGUGGGUGCUGCUCCUCGCCUCCAAGGAUGAGGCGGAGCAAGCCAUCGUCAAGCAGCAAGCGGCAGCAGAGGUCGAGUGUGGCCACAAGUUGCGUGUGCUGCGCACGGACCAUGGUGGUGAGUUCACGUCGGCCACGUUCUACAAGCACUAUGACGAGAAAGGGGUGCAACGUCACCUCACAGCCCCUUACUCGCCGCAGCAGAAUGGCGUCGUCAAGCGGAGGAACCAGACGGUGCUCGGGAUGGCACGCUGCAUGCUCAAGACAAAGCAGGUGCCAAGCACUUAUUGGGGGGAGGCCGUGCUCACGGCCGUCUUCAUCCUCAACCGCUCCUUCACAAGGAGCGUCGAUGGCAAGACGCCUUAUGAGGCGUGGUAUGGGAGGAAGCCCAAUGUAUGCUUCCUUCGCACCUUUGGCUGCAUCGGGCAUGUCAAGACGGCGCGUCCACAGCUAAAGAAGCUCGACGACAGGAGCACCCUGAUGGUGUUCAUGGGCUACGAGACGGGCUCUAAGGCGUACAAGAUGUACGACCCAGUCUCAAAGCGUGUGCAUGUCUCGCGCGACGUCAUCUUCGACGAAGACGCGCGAUGGAGUUGGGAGGCGUCGGGGGAGGCCCCGACAAGCAGCUCCUUCAUCGUGGAGUACCCGAUGUACUCUAGGACCCCGGGAAGCAAGACCCCGGGAAGUGCCACCCCGGGAAGCCCGGGAGGUGUGGAUCCGGGAACCGCAACCCCGAGAACACCGUCCCCGGGUACGGUGUCCCCAGACAACCCGACGUCAAGCAAGGUGGGUCCCGGGAGGCAGUUCGCAACCCUGCCAACAGCGAGGUCGGAGCUGUUCGACGCCGACGACAGCGUUGGUGCCCCCCACAAGUUUCGGCGCAUGGGGGAUCUCCUCGGCGAGGCUGCGGCAACACCGCAACAGCCCGAGGAAGAGGACGUUGAUGACGACGACGUCUUGCAUCUGAUGGCCGGUGAGGAGCCGACCACAUUCGCAGAGGCCGAGCAAGAGGAUUGUUGGUGCCACACGAUGCUGGACGAGCUGGCAUCGAUCAACGACAACGCCACUUGGACACUCACCACACUGCGUGCUGGGCACCGAGCCAACGGGCUCAAGUGGGUGUUCAAGGUCAAGAAGGACGAGCACGGCGCCAUUGUCAAGCACAAGGCAUGCCUCAUCGCAAAGGGCUACGUGCAGCGUGAGGGAGUGGACUUCGAGGAAGUCUUCGCUCCGGUUGCAAGGCUGGAGUCCGUGCGACUCAUCCUUUCCAUGGCUGCUCACCGCGGGUGGGAGGUACACCACAUGGACGUCAAGUCAGCGUUUCUCAACGGCGACCUUAACGAGGAGGUGUACGUCUCCCAGCCUCCAGGGUUCGUUGCCAAGAACCACGAGCUGGGCAUGUACAGGCUACACAAGGCCCUGUAUGGUCUCUGGCAAGUCCCAAGGGCGUGGAACACCAAGCUUGAUGCAAGCCUCGCAUCCCUUGGGUUCUCACGCAGCGUUUCUGAGCACGGCGUGUACUCGCGUGGCACCGAGAACACGCUGCUCAUCGUCGGCAUCUACGUCGACGACCUGGUCAUCACCGGGCAGAGCCCGAUGAGGUUCGACGCUUCAAGGGAGAGAUGCAUCGUCUCUUCAACAUGAGCGACCUCGGGCUGCUCCGGUACUACCUCGGUCUAGAGGUAAACCAGGAGGGUGGUCGCAUCACGAUCACGCAGACGGCCUACGCCACCAAGAUGCUCGAGCGAGCAGGCAUGAAGGACUGCUAUGUUGUGCAUGCUCCAAUGGAGGCACGGCUGAAGCUCAGCAAGGAUAGCUCCGAGAAGGCGGUGGAUGCUACACUCUACCGCAGCAUCAUCAGGAGCCUCAGGUACCUCGUGCACACCCGACCGGACAUCACGUUCGUUGUCGGGUACCUGAGUAAAUUCAUGGAAGCCCCGGCAAGCGAUCACCUCGCUGCCGUUAAGCACCUGCUCCGGUACAUCGCAGGUACACUCAUGCAUGGAUGCGUGUAUCGUCGUGGCGACGACGAGAGCUUGGUCGGAUACAGCGACUCCGACCAUGCUGGUGACGUGGAAUCUCAGAAGAGCACCUCGGGCAUACUGUUCCUUCUCGGGAAUAGUCCAGUCAGUUGGCAAUCGGCGAGGCAGAAGGUUGUCGCUGCAUCUUCGUGUGAGGCGGAGUACAUAGCGGGAGCUACAGCGGCCUGUCAAGGCAUUUGGCUUGCUCGCCUUCUUGGCGAGAUGCUGAAUCAGAACACCGCCCCUGCGCUCAUCUUCAUCGACAACAAGUCGGCGAUUUCGCUCUGCAAGAAUCCAGUGCUUCAUGACCACAACAAGCACAUCGAUCUGCGCUAUCACUUCAUACGUGACUGCGUCGAGAAAGGCACGGUGAUCGUGGAGUUCAUCAGGACUGGUGAGCAGAAGGCGGACAUCCUGACCAAGUCACUUGGUCGCGUCCAGUUCCAAGAACUGCGCGGCAAAGUCAGGCUCAUGGAUAUCAAGCUCCUUCGACAAGGUCGAGGGGGAGAUUGUUGGGUCAACCAUAGUCUUCGGUUGCAUGCACGCAGCAGCAGUAGCUUCCUUGGCUUGAAAGGAAGUGGUAUUCACCUAGUAGUUUCCUGGUAGUUCACUUAGCAUUGCAGGGAAGUUGACUAGUAGCAGACUAGAGCUGUGCAUGCAAUUACGUAGUAGCUUCCUAGUAGUUUCUAGAAAUAUGCUUUGCAGGGUAGGGGUAGCAGUCCCGUGAGUGGCAUGCAAGUUUUUUUUAGAAAAGGAGGAUGAUCCCCGGCCUCUGCAUCUGGGCGAUGCAUACGGCCACUUUAUUAAUUAUUCUCACAAGACCAUACAAAGUAAUACAACAGUAAGACUAAAGCCGCCGUCUAAGCAUCUCUAUCCAGCUGAUGAAGGGGCGCAGAUAGCCUGGGCCUAAUACCAAAUAGACAUCGCAGUCAAACCUAACAUCUAAGACCUGAGAACCCAUCCAGGACGCCUGCCGGGCAUGGGUCUCACCGGUCCGGCGUGCACUCAGAUGCCGCCGCCGCCAACUGCCACCGCUCCAUCUUCAGAACUGUACUGAUGCAUCAACCUUGCUCGGUCUAGCUAUCGUCGACGCCACCAUGGCGCCAAACGGCACCUCCUCCCUGCAUGCAAACAGUUGUGCACGUCGCGGUCGCCACUGAUACACCUCAGCGCCAUGCUGCCAGGUAUCACCAGCCGACACAGCUUGAAGUCCUUGGAAGAUCUGUCGUGCGUAGCACCUGCCGACCAGGCAUGACAAAGCGUAGCACCUGUCGGUCAGGCAUGACUUGACAUCACCCCCGAAGCUCCGUGCAAGACGAAGCCGCUCCACCUCCUGCCUCUGACAUCCAGCGCUGCUCCGCAAACGAUGCUCCCAAGAGAGAAAAGACACCGCACUGCCGCCAUCGUCCGAUCUGGAACACCAGAUCCUAGGGUUUCCCCCGGAGCAGCACGAGUGGGUCGACAAUAGUUACACGACGAUGCCUUCAUCAAGGUAACGGCGAGAACGCCGCCAUCGCCUACCAUCGGCUCGGUUUUCACCGGCAACCAUGUCUCCCCAACUCGCAGCCGGGACAAGAUGAUGGAUCUCGAGAUCCGAUCACCAAGCCUCUGGUCGCCCAUCUCAGGAAGAAGAUGACCACCACGUCCAGCAGUCUCACCACGCCGGGCACGUGUCGCCGCCGGCACCCCCAUGGUGCCUAGAGGCCGACAAGCCCCGACGAAUCCCAUGCCUCGCCAGCCGCCAUGGCCCGGACCCCGGCACCACCAGAUCCAGAUCGAAUCGGGGUCCAGGGCCCCAUGCCGCAACCGCCGCGGAGGCAGCACCACUGGACGGUGCCUAGCCCUCCAGCACCACUGUGAGUGGCAUGCAAGUACGUAGGUAAUUUCGCGUGUGUGUGUGCAUUGUGCACGACCAGCCCUAUAAAAGGACCCCGGUCCUUCAGUUGUAAUAAGGCCAUUUUCAUUUCUAUCCAGCCAAGCCUCAAGUGUAGUACUACUACAUAUGCGUGUGUGUGUGCAAAGCAGCACUUGCAAGUGUGCUUUGCCAUUCUGCUUGUUGCUUCGGUAGUAUACUUGAGUGCAAGUAGUAGUAGGCUAGUACCACACAGCCGCUGCCCUGUGUAGUUCAUCUCAUCCUUGACUUCGUCCGAUCCUGAGUAGCCAGCUACUCUGUACGUAGUUCGGGCUGACAAUUGGCACCAGAGUCUCAGGUUAUGCCGAAGCAUAUGCCGAAAGGAGGCGUUGCCGACGAUGGUUUCAAGACCGCCGAGCAAAGCUCGACUGAGGACACCCGUGCGGCGGACGCGCUCGCGCUGUGAGGCAGGCCGGGAGGUGAGCUGGGUGCGCCACGCUCCGUGCGAGACGUGGGCAUGUCCAGUACCUCCUUCCCUCUCCUCACGCGGACCAACUAUCCCAGUUGGUCCGUCCUGAUGAAAGUCAUCAUGGAGGCGCGACAUAUGUGGGAAGCUGUGGAAACCGGCAAUGUCGAGUACGAGGAGGACCGGCUGGCGAUGGAGGCGAUCUUGCGCUCCGUCCCAGAGGAGAUGGUGCUCACCCUUGGCGCCAAGGAGACGGCCAAGGAAGCAUGGGACACCAUCAAGACUCUGCGCAUCGGCGUGGAGCGCGUACGGGAGUCGAAGGCCCGGACCUUGUGCCUCCAGUACGAGGAGAUCUGGUUCAAGGCCGGUGAACAAGUCGA
This 6852-nucleotide long non-coding RNA is filed under the name Triticum aestivum (bread wheat). RNAcentral's name for it is "long non-coding RNA (TAES_LNC002036)". Lineage: Eukaryota; Viridiplantae; Streptophyta; Magnoliopsida; Poales; Poaceae. The record is from RNAcentral.